This is a long non-coding RNA of Leopardus geoffroyi (Geoffroy's cat), 719 nucleotides long. RefSeq lists it as uncharacterized. Lineage: Eukaryota; Metazoa; Chordata; Mammalia; Carnivora; Felidae. The transcript is spliced from 2 exons. The record is from RefSeq and is a predicted model, not a curated record.
CUUUUAAAAUGGUGACAAUACCCAUUUGGCCUGGCUUGCCUAAUGGGGUCCUGGGUUUAUCAGUGUGGGGUGGACCAGGGCCACCCAAAAUGUUCCAUAAUAGCAUAUUAAGUAACUUUAAUUCAAAAUAAUUAAGAAAGGUCCAGUGCAGGAAGGACAUACUGACCCUCCUUCGUCUCCAGAAAAUAGUAAAUAAAUCUUCCAUAUGAAAGAUACCCUUCUUGUACCAAGAGGUAGAGAGACAUCCUUGUGGUCAGAGACGAGGAAUUCCAACCUGAAGAAACCUAUAGUAACAAAACCUUGUUAUUUUUACUAAUCUACUCCAGCCCAAGUUCUUUGUAUAAAAGCUGCAUGUAUUGGUGGGGGGGACCUCUAUUUUAAUAUUGGGUUUUUGUGCAUACAAAAUUAAACUUCUUCCAUUUAAUUCUCAGGCCAGCUAGAAGGACCUUUGAAGGAUAAAUUAAAAUUUUUGCUGCCCAAGCAUAGUCCGGGGCAAAUGGUAACUAGCUGGACACUGCUACAGCUGAGAAAUCCUGAGACAUCUGACAAAUAGCUGUCAGAAGGAAUUACGUAGGACAUAAUGCGAACAUAAACUCUUCUAAGCCUGCUGUCCAAGCCAGCCUCGCAGACUGGUGAGUUCCCAGUUUUCCUCACACUGACAUCUGUUCGGACAAACUUUGCUGUAGAUCCCCUACAUAAAAUCCAAAUAAGGUUUUUUU